GGGCCGCUAGCUCAGCUGGUUAGAGCGCCAUCCUCACACGGUGGAAGUCGCUGGUUCGAGUCCAGCGCGGCCCA
This 74-nucleotide transfer RNA is filed under the name Planctomycetota bacterium. RNAcentral describes it as "Planctomycetes bacterium (bioreactor metagenome) tRNA-Val". It matches the Rfam family "tRNA". From Rfam's summary of the family: Transfer RNA (tRNA) molecules are approximately 80 nucleotides in length. Their secondary structure includes four short double-helical elements and three loops (D, anti-codon, and T loops). Lineage: Bacteria; Pseudomonadati; Planctomycetota. The record is from RNAcentral.